RNAcentral lists this ribosomal RNA (490 nucleotides) under uncultured bacterium. Its description in RNAcentral is "partial 16S ribosomal RNA". It matches the Rfam family "Bacterial small subunit ribosomal RNA", at positions 29 to 507 of the family's 1533-position model. The record is from RNAcentral.
AUUGAACGCUGGCGGCAUGCCUUACACAUGCAAGUCGUACGGCAUCGCGGGAAAGCUUGCUUUCCUGGCGGCGAGUGGCGAACGGGUGAGUAACACAUCGGAACGUACCGGCUAGUGGGGGAUAACCCGUCGAAAGACGGGCUAAUACCGCAUACGCUCUUCGGAGGAAAGCAGGGGACCUUUGGGCCUUGCGCUAGCCGAGCGGCCGAUGUCCGAUUAGCUAGUUGGUGGGGUAAAGGCCUACCAAGGCGACGAUCGGUAGCGGGUCUGAGAGGACGAUCCGCCACACUGGGACUGAGACACGGCCCAGACUCCUACGGGAGGCAGCAGUGGGGAAUCUUGGACAAUGGGGGCAACCCUGAUCCAGCAAUGCCGCGUGGGUGAAGAAGGCCUUCGGGUUGUAAAGCCCUUUCGGCAGGGAAGAAAUCGGCGGGGCGAAUAACCCUGCUGGAUGACGGUACCUGCAGAAGAAGCACCGGCUAACUACGUG